RNAcentral lists this long non-coding RNA (5021 nucleotides) under Sus scrofa (pig). Its description in RNAcentral is "lncRNA (ENSSSCG00065031818.1)". The record is from RNAcentral. Lineage: Eukaryota; Metazoa; Chordata; Mammalia; Artiodactyla; Suidae.
AGCUCCAGUCCUUCUAUUCUGCCAUCUUAAUCCCGUCCCCAGGUUUAGUUGUUUCUAAACUUUGUUCUCAGGGAUGCAAUUGUUAGAAUAUAUCAUUUAUUUUCAGCCAUCAAAGAGCUUAUUAUCUAAUAGGUUAGGUGUCAGUAUUAAAUGUUUUAUUAACCUAGAACCUAAAUAAUUUAUCAGGGGGAAAUAUCCUACCAGCAAGAGUUGCCAGUGAAGCCUUUUCCACAACUAAAUUCAGUAAGUAGAGACUAAGAACGGAGAAAAAAUAGGCACUCCAGGUGGAUGUUAUAUCUUAAGCACAGGCCUGAGAAAUGCAAAUAACAAAGGGGGAAACCAACAACAAAACGAAAAGACAAUCUACGGAAUGGGGGGAGAUAUUUGCAAAUGAUAUGACCAAUAAGGGGUUAAUAUACAAAAUAUAUAAAUAUUUCAUACAACUCAAUAACAACAACAACCAACCCAAUUUUAAAAUUGGGCAGAAAAGCUCAAUAGAAUUUUCUCCAGAGAAGACAUAGGCACAAUAGGCACAUGAAAAGAUAUCUGUUCAACAUUGCUAAUUAUUAGGGAAAUGCAAAUUGAAACCACAAUGAGUUGUCACCUCACAUCUGUUAGAAUGACUAUCAUCAAAAAGAUAAGAAAUAAAGUGUUGGCAAUGAUGUGGAAAAAAGGGAAUCCUCAUACACUUUUAGUGGGAAUGUAAAUUGGUACAGCCACUAUGGAGAACAGUAUGGAGGUUCCUCAAACAAUUAAGAGUAGAACUACCAUAUGAUCAGCUAUCCUUUUUCUUGAUAUUUAUCCAAAGAAUAUGGGGGAAAAAACUAAUUCAAAAAGAUGUAUACACCUCUAUGUUCAUUGUAGCAUUAUUUAUAAUUACUGAGAUGUGGAAACAGCCUAAGUGCCCAUCAAAAAAUGAAUGGAUAAAGAAGAUGUGGUACACACACACACACAUGAACAUUAUUAAGCCAUAAAAAGGUCAAGUCUUGCCCAUUUUGACAGCAUAUGAGUAUAUUAUGCUAAAUGAAAUAUCAAAUGGAAAAUAGGUAAAUGCUGUAUGAUUUUACUCCUAUGUAGAAUAUAAAAAAACAAACAAAUGUGAAAACAAAAUAAAUGAAUAAACCAAACACACACACACACACACACACACACACACACACACACACACAGAACGGAGUAGUGGUUACCAAAAGGAAAGGGGUGGUGGUGGGAGGUGAAAUGGAUAAAAGGAAUCAACUGUAUAGUGACAGAUAGCGACUAAGUUUUUGGUGGGGAACAUGCUAUAGGGAAUACAGAUGUAGAAAUAUAAUGUACACACGAAACUUAUAUAAUGUCAUAAACCAAUGUUACCUCAAUUUUAAAAAAUUAGAAGUUUCUGGAUUUUAGAAAAGUAUUACAAUACCUGUACUCUAUGUUAUGUCACAUCCUUGCAGAGUCCAGAAAAUACCCUGUAAGCAAGUCAUUUAUAUUUGUGCAACACCAAGCGGGAUAAAGAUAAUAAUUUCUUGUAAGUUCAGGUCAGGUUUUGCUAACAAAUGAGCUAAACAUUUGGAUUUUUAGAGCUUCUGAAUUUUGGAAUUGUGGUUAAGGGUUAAUAUAACCAGAAUUGAUUGGGCUAGUGGGAUGUACUUGAACUAAUGUAUACAGGGUCUUGAAAGUCAGGCUGAGACAUUGAACCUCAUCCACUAAAUGCUUGGAGAACCCCUGGGGGUGGGAUUUGGAGGGGAUGAGUGCUGGAGGUAUCUGGGUGGUAUUUUAUGAAAGUUAUUCUAGAGACAUGGGGAAUCUGGUUAGCUUAUUCCAGUGGGCCCAAGAAUGAAGUGAAUGAGAAAACCUUUUUUUUUUUUUUUUUUCCCUGAAGAAGGGAUCUGUAGAAUUUCAAUAGAAUUUGAGAAGUGGUGAUGGGGAGGUGGGUGGAGAAGAGAGUGAAGAAGGGGGUGGGAGCCAAAGGUGAUUCCAAGGCUUGUGCUUAAGGAACUAUGAGCAGAAAGCAGAAAUCUUAAGGGAGGACUUGACUUUGUGGGGCUGACAGUGAUUUGUCUUGCCUGUGAUUUUACAGUUUGAUGGGACAAUCAGAUAGACAAGGUCAAGUCAGACACCGGAAGUGACUAUAGAUCUAAAGAGAAGCCAGAGCUCCAGGGUUACAUUUAGGGGAAAAUUAGAGAAAACCUUGUGAGGGAGGGGGAGCUAAGAAAGAUCAGGAAGAGUGGGUUGGAGUAAUGGUUGGGGAGUGGACACCAGGACACAAGAAAAAAGAAGGGUGGUAUGGCAAAGUCAGAGGACCCAGGGGGACGGGCAGGAAGACACCCUCUUCCUGAACCUAAGCAGCCAGUGUCUGGGCCACUGAUGGAUGAGGCAUGCAGUAAACUGUCAUGAAAAACCUGUGCCAAAAGACAAGGCAGAUGCAAUCAUGAAAUCAACUGGGAGCCAGAUGCAGGCUAAUAGGAACCCCCAGACCAGCACUGCUGUCGAAAACGAUCCUCUCUUCCUGCUCAUAGAUGCGCAUGCAAGUCUGAGCAGUAAUUGCAGCAACUAGGUGUGUUUGGUUCUGUUUAACCUUAAUAUUUCAUUUUGUUCUGAGGAGGACCUGAUUUAUUUGGAAUAGUUUAGGCCACAACUAAAACCAAAACCAAACUGAGAUUAUGAGCAGGUUUUAUUCAAUGAGCACCAAGAUCAUUUUCUGAGACUUCAGAAUUUUCUUUGUUCUGUUUUUCUUAUCAGAAUUGAUUAUUAGGUGAAAGUUAAUUUUUAAGCAAGUAUAUGUGUAUACAUGUGAAGAUUAGCUUAGAGUUUCCCAAUUGCUGAAAACAGUACACACACACACACACACACACACACACACACACACACACAUAUGUAUACUUAAGUAUACGUGUAUAUAUAUAUACAUACACACAUUUAAAAAUUUCUUUUAUUUUGGAAUUGACCUACUGUUUAUCUCAUUCUUUGUCCCUUUUUUUCUUUUCCUUUUUUUUAAAAAAACAAAGUGCCAUGCCUACAGGUGAGCAAACAGACCUACCAGUACUUUGGCCUUUCAGUCUUAGCAGGAAAAUAAAUCACUGGGAGAAAUCAAUAGAAUUCAGUUUUUUAACAUUAUUAAGUUUCGUUAAUUGUUAGCACUUUAAGACAUUUUCCUUUUAUGGAAAAUUUCAAUAACUUUGGAGGUUAACUAUUCAGUUUGAGAUAAAAUAUUAGCAGUUUGUGUGGUGAUUGUUUAAAAACUUUUGCUCUGCAAAUAUUGAUUGCCUACUGAAUGCCAGCUACUCCAGGCAUUAAGAGGACACACUCCUCACCCCUGAGUUUAUAGCGGGCAGGGAGGGAGCAUCCUUACACAGGUGGGUCGCAGAGUCAGAGGCCCUGGGUGCACAGUUAUCAGUGGUUCUGCAGCAGUGCUAGUGACUGCUUCUCUCUGCUGGGAUCUGGGAUGUAUCUCUAAGGCAGGGCAGGUGGCAGCUAAUGAAGCUCUUGAAGGAUGGUGAGGAGAUCAGACCAAGAGGGAGAGAAGAACAUUCCAGGCAGAAGGAAUAAUGUGCCAGCUGCAUGACCGGCCAGGCCUGUCAAAAUGAGUGAGAAAUUUAGUGUGCACGGGGCCUAGGUUGUAUGGGGAAAACAAGGACCAAGGACCAAAAAGAUAGAGAUUGGCAGCAGUUUGAGAAGAGGCACCUGAGUACACAAAACCCUUAGGAUUUGACUCCCUCUAGGCAGUAGAUCAUCCUAGAAGGCUUUUAAGCAAAGACAUCUUCAUUUUAGAAAAACAGUUCUGGGCUAGUGUGGUGAUAGGGGGCCCAGCUGGGCACUUGCACUGGCUCCUGCAGGUGGUACCAUUUAUUGAUUUAGCAUACAUUUUGCAUCCAGUGUCUAUCUGUUAAGUGUCUCUUUUGUGCCAAGUGCUGCAUUUUGUGAUUUGUGGUUCUGCAGAUUUUCCUGCUUAGUUGUCUUUGUGAUCAGCAUACCCCAUAAACGUACGAACCACAUAAGUCAAUGUAUUUACCCUCAAGUAAAAUGUUCCCGACAAAGCUCUUUGUGAAAUAUUGCAGUAGGUUGCUGCUUUUGCACCUAUAUGAUCCUAAGCUUCUGUCUGUUGCAAUAUUUUUAUGUAUAUCAUUUACUAUUUUAGAAAUAUAGAAUGUUAGAGCCCCAAAGAUCUUAGAUGUCAUCUGGGACAAAGUCUUCCUUACACACAUAAAGGAUUUCUAACCUAGAAAAAUGAAGCUGCGUGUCACUUAGCUUGUUGAUUCAGGGGCUGGAAAUUUGAAAUUCUUGAAUUUUGAGAUGCUAAGGACAAGAAUUACACAUUAGGUGUACACCGUAUUUGUUGAGAAAGGGAAGGACAUGACUUGUUCAUGGCCUCUGCAUCUCACGUUCCUUCACCUGACCUGGCUUUACUGCUUUCCCACAGUCCCUUCUAGAAAGUUUUUUAUUCACAGUUCAACCUGUGAUCCAUUUUUCCAAUGAUUUGGUAGAUGGUGAGAAUAAGAAUUAAAUUUCAUUGUCAAAUGAUAAAUCUGGUUAUAGUCAACUACCACUAAUAAUAUACUUAUGAGGGUUUUAAAACCUUGCCAUCCUAUAGCAUCAGGUGUAAUGAACACAUGCUGCCCUAGUUUUGAGAAAAGUUAAGAAAUCUUUAGGUAUAUGAUAAAUGAGAGUUGAGCCUCCCUCUCUGGGGCCUGCCUGAACCACAGUCUCUGAGUGGGUCUUCCUUCAUUUACAGCCACAGGCUCCAUCCGAAGUUUACAGACAGGGGUGGGAGAGCUCCAUGGAGAAACCAGAUUCUGGCAUGGAAAGGACUACUGCAAUUUUGUCUUCAAAGACUGGGUCCAACUUGAUAAACCUUUUGCUGGUGAGUACCAUGUUGUAGAUUUCUGCUUAUAUUUUUGUCUUUUAUUUGUCAGCAUCUCAACAAAUCUGCAUGUUCAUGACCUCACAGCUUUUGUUUUGCUUUAUUUUGUUUUGAAUAUUUGGUAAAACAUUGGAGACUAGGAUUCAGUCAUAUACUUGAGGGCUUUCCCUUGUAAGUAUAG